Molecule: long non-coding RNA, 4785 nt
Organism: Amblyraja radiata (thorny skate)
Lineage: Eukaryota; Metazoa; Chordata; Chondrichthyes; Rajiformes; Rajidae
Exons: 2
Source: RefSeq, a predicted model, not a curated record
UUCAACAGCCUGAUGGGAAGAAGCUGUUCUGGUAGCUGGACAUUAGUUUUCACUCAUACACCUUCUUCCCCAUAUGGCAGAAGUGAAAUGAGAGUGUGGCCUGGGUGGUGUUGGUCCUUGAUGAUGUUGGAUACUGUUUUGAGACAGUGCUUCCUCUAAGUUCCUAUGAUGAUUUUACUGACUAAGAGCAAUGUAUGAAGGACCUGCAGAUGCACACCAAAGAUAGACACACAAUGCUGGAGUAAGUCCACGGGACAGGCAGCAUCUCUGGUGAGAACGAAUGAGUGAAGUUUCCUGUCGAGACCUGAGUUUCGGGUCUGAAGAAGUGUCUCGACCUGAAACGUCACACAUUCCUUCACUCCAGAGAUGCUGCAUGUCCUGCUGAGUUACUCCAGCAUUGUGUGUCUUUUAGAGCAAAGUCAUUGUUAAACAAUUUCAACAAUGGUCCUGCUACAUCCUAUAAAUCUUAACUGAGCUUAUCAAAUAUCUUCCGUCUCAUACCCAUCUUGCUCAUUGUUUUUUGUCUCAAUGCCAUUCCCUUUCUACGUCGUUUAUCUUUGUCGUUUAUUCUCUCCCGCAUACUAUUCAUUGGCAGGGGCAGUUUUGUCUUUGGCUUCCUCUGUCCUAUCCCAUCCCCCACUCCCGCCAGCCCUAUUUAAAUACCUGCAUAAGUUUCUAUGAAUUGUUCCCAAGAUAACAUAAAAGCAAAGGCAUCAAAGAAAAUGUGAUUAGAGGUACAGAUGGACCCAAGGCUGUCAGCGUGGUUGCCAUCUUUCCAUUGUCCUGUUCAAAAUGAGCAUCAAAUUCAUUGAACUCAUCAGAGGGGGAUGCGUUGUUGCCAGCAAUAUUGCCUGACUUCACUUUGUAGCUUGUUAUAGUAUGAUAACCUUGCCACAAUCGAUGGGUGUCAUUUGGUUAUCCUGGGAUUCCGACCUGGUCUGGAAUUCCCUCUUGGCAUCCUUGAUGGCUUUGCGAAAGUCGUAUACAGAUUUCUUGGGAUCGUUUGACUUUGAAUGAUGCAGACUUGGACUUCAUCCGGGAAUGCAUCUCAUGGUUCAUCUAUGGUCUCUGUCUUAUUUGGUACACAGUUCUCUGCAAACAUACUGGCAAAGUCUACUCAUUUAGGUUGGCCACAGAAUUAAGCGAAGCUGUGGUCCUGGUACUGAUCCCUGUGAAACUCCCUUGUACACUUUCCUCCAAUCUAAAAAAAUACUGUAACUAUUAUCCAGGGUUACACUAUAGAAGAGGUGGUUUGAUUCAUUACCCCACCACCUUUCAUAUUUUUCAGACAUUUUCCUAUCCAAGACUUGAGAAUCUUGAUGAUGGAAGUCCAUAUAUUCUGCAUUUUCUUUACUGACUUUUCUGUUACAUCAUCAAAAAACUGUUAGAUAUGAUUUGCCCUUAAAGAUAUUUGGUGAUGAUUGGUUUAUAUUUGUAUGAUGUUUGGUAUGAAUAUUAUAAAUUUGAUGGAAUAUUUUGUGGUGGGGUUUAUUUUUGUCUUAUGGCAGGCAGUUGACACAAUGAGCAGUGAAAAAUGAGCAAUUUAGUGAAUGGGGAAUUGGGGUUGUGGUUGCUUGCUUUCAUGCAAAUCAUUUCUUCACACACAUCCUUGGCUGAAUAACGCUGCCAUGGUUGCCUCACCCUUCUCACUUCCCUCCUUCUCCACCCUCGCAUGUUCCUGCUUCUCAGUUGAUUUUGGUGUAGCUGGUGACAAUGCCUGAAAACGCACAAUAGUGAGGUUGGGUGCAUGUAGCAGCGGUUGUACUAGCACAACAGCAUUUUACAGCUCUUCCACUACAACUACCUGCUGAAAGCCGUUGUAAUCAAGUCAUCUCAUCUUUGGUUAGCCCUGUGUUUCAACUGCAAAUGAAAUUAAACAAAUGCAUCAUGAAUAUUGGAAAAUGAUCUACAUGAGAAGCUGCUUUUGGUCACACAUCGGUUAGUUGCCAAGGGAAUGAACCGUUGGUGGGUACCAGGAAAUGACUAAUUCAACACACGUUAGUCAAAAAGCAUAUGGUCAGAAGGUUGCAAUCUAAGCAGAGUAAUGUGCUGCCUCUGCGUGCUAGUCUCUGGCAAGAUACCAUGAUAUGUAAUUAACUUUCAGAAAAGACAGCCUCCUCGUCCUGCCUGAUGCAACAGUGAUGAGAACUUACAAGAUGUUGCAACAAUAUCCAGUUUCAGCUUGGAAGGAGUCAGGCACAUAAAAAAUCAUUAAUAUGGUCACCUUGACAACAACGACAAUGUGUUCCUGACCUAGCAAUUGACGGUUUUGGCUGUGGCAAGUGAAAUAUUUCAGUGAGAUCAUCCUUUCUGAAGGGCAGACAUCCCACUCAUUCUUCCUCCACAAAGUUCAAGUAGGAGAACUGGUCCUUCCACAGCCAGGGUGAUAGGAAAUUUCAUGAAUAUUCACACAUUUUUAAUCUCAUAAACAUAAUUCGGAUUUGUAUGUCACAAUAAGGUACUUCUGAAUGCUGGUAUUUAUUAUAGUGAUAUUUAUUUUUGAGGUUGAAUGUUAAACACACGGCUGAGGUAGCAGACUCAUCCAGGAGGUAGACAUCAUUCUCGAUGUCUGAGUUAUUAAUGGGUUUUCGAAAACGGGUGAAGGUUACUGCAAAACGUUUGAAUUGGUAAAAAAACCCAACUGGUUUAUUUAUGCUCUUCAGAGAAGGACAUCUUCCCUUUUCUUCCCUGGUUUGACCAACAAACAGCACCAUUGCCAUCUAUUGAGGUUUCCUCCGAGCAGUUCUCAGAAGUGGCGCUGCAAGCCCCUCAUUUGUACGCAAGAUUUAAAGAUCCUUCUGGGUUUCCAGGAAUGAGCAAUAAUUGAUGACCUUUCAGACAUUGUCCAUGUUCAAAGGGUGAGUUUAAAAAAAGGAGCAAAGUAGUGUUGCAUUAUAACUAUCCUAUGAUGAAAAUGUACAUAUAUUAUUUUCUUAGAAAAGGUUAAAUUAGGAAGAUGAGGAACAUCUUGACAUGAUGAACAUUUUUCUUUCUUUGCUGUGAAGAACUAAGCUGUCAGCUCAACAUAAUGACAGCUUAGCUUUAAAUUGCAACUGUGUGACCUCAAGAAAUAAUUACAGGCCUUGUUCGUUCACCCUGUUUUUGGUUUCAGCUAUUUUGUGCUUUCAUUCUGUACAUGUGAAACAUCUUUUUUUAAAUAGAUGAAAAUAGAAAAUGACCAAACUUCGAAAAUAUCCCAUUAGCUGGAAAAUGCUACGGGAGGUCUAAAAUUCAUGGAAGACUAAGGUUUUUUUUUAGGAUUGGUUGAAUUUGAUCAAUGUACAUUUAUGUUAAAUGUGAUUUGGGACUCUUGGUUUCAAAGUUAAGAAUGUUCCAAUUCUUCCUCUGGUCACCUUCAACAGUAAAUUUUCCUCUCUUCCCCAAAUGUAAUUUCAAUGAGUCUGUUUGGUUUGUAUUUGUGGAUUUUAGUUAUUUAAAAACACUAAAUGUUACACAUUGAAAUACAGUUCUGCAUCCUGAUUUUGGUUAAUUGCACAAUUUUCUUUAGAAAGCUAAUGAUGAAAAAUAAUGACAUUGAAAAAAUACUGCUGCUAUUAAUUAGUUUAACAUGACUUUGUUGAUUAUAAACUAUUGGCAUAACUCUUCGAUUCUCCCCACAUUAUUAUGUUCAACUUUGAGGCUAUUUAACAUUGUUUUGUUAUUGCUACCCUAAAUUUGUUCUAUUAAAAUCUAGAUUUCCCUCAAAACUGGAGCCUCAUAAUCAUGCUUAGUAAAGGAGGAGGAGGAAGCUAUAAAUUGCGAUUUUCCAGUUCUUUAUCUUGCCAAAAAAAAGCUUCAUGACCAUCUCUGGGUGAGGGUUACCGGACUGAUAUUUUGUUCAACUGUAACAAGAUGUCCCAACUCUUCUACUCAUUGCCUCAGCAGAUGAAGGCAAUUGCGUUCUUCACCACCCUGUCUACCUGCGGCACCAAUUUCAGGAAACUAUGUAUUUGUAUCCUAGGUCUGUUAGUUCUACAACACUUCCCCAGGACUCUAUCAUUCACUGUGUAUUUCCUUCCCUGGUUUAAAUUCCCAAAUAGCUUCACUUUACUUUUGUCUGAGUUAAACUCUAUCUGAUGUUCCUUUGCAUACUUUCCCAGUUGAUAUAGAUCAUGUAGUCACCCUUUUUCAUUGUCCACCACAUCGUCAUUUAAAUCCUUCCCCUCUCACCUUAAACCUAUGCUCUCUAGUUUUAAACUUGCCGACCUGGGUCUGCAUCAGUUGUGGAUUAGUUAAUCAUGCCACCUACAUUCUCCUCCAAGUCAUUAACAUAGAUGACAAAGGCAUAGGCCUACUAUCUGAAAUAGUCCAUCCACUCUCAAUCUUUGACUCCUUCCACUAUGCCAGUUUUGUGUACAAUUGGCUUGGCUAGUUCAAUCUUGAUCUCAAAAGCUGUAAUCUUCCAGACCAGCUUACCUAUGUAUGAUUUUAUCCAAGGCCUUGCUAAAGACCUAGUAGAGAAAAUCUACCACCCUGCCCUUGUCAAUCCUCCUGCUCACUUCAAAGAAACCUAAUCAUAUUCAACUGAGUAAACAGAUGGCACCUCAGUUCGACAGCUCGACUGAAAGCUAAUACCUCUGAUGCAUCACAACCUCAAUUUUGCUCUCUUGCCGAAUAUUUAUUUGUUAUUUGAUUUCUGGAGUGGGAUUUAACCUUUUACUGCCAGGCUCAGAGGUGUAGUAACUGAACUAUCUAACAUAGGAGAUUAUUGGUGGAAUUUAGAAUGUCUUUGCCUGUAGUAUUUUGGUUCCAUUGUGCUUAAGUAUUAAAAAAAAGUGUAGUUAA